AGCAGCCGCGGUAAUUCCAGCUCCAAUAGCGUAUAUUAAAGUUGUUGCAGUUAAAAAGCUCGUAGUUGAAUUUCGGGAUCAUCAGGUUGGUCGUGCCUCCGGUAUGUACUUGCUUCGGUGGUCCCUCCUUCUUGAAGAACCGUAAUACCAUUAAUUUGUUGUUGCGGGGAAACAGGACUGUUACUUUGAAAAAUUAGAGUGUUUAAAGCAGGCAAUCGCUUGAAUACAUUAGCAUGGAAUAAUGAAAUAGGACGUUCGAUCCUAUUUUGUUGGUUUCUAGGAUUGACGUAAUGAUUAAUAGGGAUAGUUGGGGGCAUUAGUAUCCAAUUGUCAGAGGUGAAAUUCUUGGAUUUAUUGAAGACUAACUACUGCGAAGGCAUUUGCCAAGGAUGUUUUCAUUAAUCAAGAACGAAAGUUAGGGGAUCGAAGACGAUCAGAUACCGUCGUAGUCUUAACCAUAAACUAUGCCGACUAGGGAUCGGAUGAUGUUAAUUUUUA
RNAcentral lists this ribosomal RNA (498 nucleotides) under uncultured Glomus. RNAcentral describes it as "SSU rRNA". It matches the Rfam family "Eukaryotic small subunit ribosomal RNA", at positions 569 to 1072 of the family's 1831-position model. The record is from RNAcentral. Lineage: Eukaryota; Fungi; Glomeromycota; Glomeromycetes; Glomerales; Glomeraceae.